RNAcentral lists this long non-coding RNA (7416 nucleotides) under Marmota monax (woodchuck). The record is from RNAcentral. Lineage: Eukaryota; Metazoa; Chordata; Mammalia; Rodentia; Sciuridae.
GUCAGCUGAGGUGUUGGUCCAUAUUGAAAUCACUACAGAACUCAGGCUGCAAAGAAGACACUCCCUGGAAUGUUGAGGAUCACUGUUGUAGAAGCUGAAAGAGACGAGGGAAGUCUUCAAAUUGGCAAUAAAAUGGUAAAGGUAUACGUCACUUAUAAACAUGAUGUUUUGACUGAGUUUUGUGGCUUUUCUACUGGCAAGGGGACAAGGAGGUGCAGCUCUAUGAGGCUCUGGAAGGCAGAAAACUGGAAAUAUUCUUAGAGCUGGGCAGAUGCCUACCUUGGGCCAUAACUAUUUUUUUAAAUACUUUAUUUUUUAAAGAGAGAGAGAGAGAGAGAGAGAGAGAGAGAGAGAGAGAGAGAGAGAAUUUUUAAUAUCUAUUUUUUAGUUUUUGGUGGACACAACAUCUUUGUUUGUAUGUGGUGCUGAGGAUUGAACCCGGGCUGCAUGCAUGUAGGCAAGCAUGCUACCACUUGAGCCACAUCUCCAGCCCCACUGGGCCAUAACUAUUAAAAUCAAAACAUCUAUACCCACUGACUGAACAAUGCCAUUUGUGAGAAUUCAUACUAUGAAAAUACUUCCAUCAAUACCCAGCCUUGAAUGUUCAAGGAUUUUCUCUUCAGCCUUGAAAAUCUGAAUUGAAAACUAGAAUAACCAUCAAUAGUGGAAUUAUUAAAUAGAUAAUAGGGUACUAGUACUUUGGCAUUCUAUAAUCAUUACAAAGAAUAAGAUAGAUAUUGAAGACGAAUUGACUCAAAAAAUACCAAACUUAUGCAUAGAAUGAUAUCAUUUAUCUUACAUAUUAUGUUAAAAUUAGGACUAUAUUUGCAAUAGAGAAAGGAUAAAAAAUGUUCUUUAUAAUAGUACUAAUAUCUAUUGUUUAUUGAGCUUUUAGCAUGGUUAGGAACUGUACUACUAAAUGUUACAUGCUUCAUAAGCAUGAUUCUCACUUUAAAGAUGAAGAACUUAAGGCUCGGAGAAGUUCAGUGACUUGUCUAAGCUCACACAGAUAAGCAGUUCUACAGUUAGAAUCCCAGUGUGUCUGAAAAAUAGCUGGCACUGGGCCGUUGGAUAAGGUUAGUGGUGAGGCAUAGGAAAAAAAGGCUUUCACUGUCCACUUUAUGGGGUUUAAUUAGCUUGCAUUUAUUUUUGUUUUUCUUGCAAUAAGUAUGUAUUCCUUUUUGCAAAAAUGAUCUAAAAAUAAAAAUGUGAAGUAAUGUGAAGGGGACGAAAUAGAUCAGAGACAGCCAUGCAUACAUGGAAAAAAAAAAACUACAAAUGUACUCAAACUCUAUCCAAGUGCCUGAAUUCCAACAGCAGGAGAAAGAAAUCCUACAUCAAAUUCAGUAUCUAAAGCAAAAAUGGGCUGGUUAGCCUGUUGAAAACGCUGGGAGGAGGGGUCUCUCUUCGAGACAGGGUGGCCUGGCAAAUGGCUCUCCAGUGAGUCUAGCAGACUCCUGGGGAAACUGCAAAGGCCAUCUUGAGAAACUUUUGGUAAAUAUUGAGGACAAUGAAUCACUGAAAACAAGCAGCAGGUUUCAUAAAGAAUAACUCAUGUCAGGCAAUUUGACAGCCCUUUAAAAAUAGAAUUAUUAGGGUGGUGAAUAAAAGAGCCAUUAUGAGCCUCCGCAUGUGGACUGCAUCGUGACUGUCUCAGGAAGCACUCCCAUCUAAUGUUUUCCAGUAGGCUGGUGCUGGGGACAUGGGAGAGGACUGAGACUGGGAGAUAGAAGACACUCAUUUAUGCAUUCAAGGGUGCAAAUUUGUACAUACAAGGACAUUCAUCACAGCACUGUGUGUUAUAGGGAGAAACUAGAAACCAGUUUAACAUCACCAGUCGGGGAUUAGUUAAAAGCAUAUUGGGGGCUGGGACUGUGGCUCUGUGGUAGAGCGCUCUCUUAGCACUGGCGGGGAACCCGGGUUCAAUUCUCAGCACCACAUAAAAAUAAAGGCAUUGCGUUCUAUCCAUCUACAAAAAAAAAAAAAUUCAUAUUCUCUCUCUCUCUCUCUCUCUCUCUCUCUCUCUCUCUCUCUCUCUCUCCUUUAAAAAAUAUUUUUAAAAAGCAUAUUGGUCCAGGUGCUCAUGUUUGAGACCCUGUCUCAAAACAAAAGAUACAAAGAACUGGGGAUGUAUCACCAUGAUAUAGUGCCCUGGGUUCAAUCCUGGGGACUAGGGGAAAAAGAAAAAAGAUGGGAAUAUCCAUGAAUGGACUUACAUGUAGCUUUAGCUUUUUCAGUCAGGGUUGGCAAUCUAUGACCCCUGGGCCAAAUGUGAUCCAAGAAUAGGGAAUAAUUUUUAUUGUUUUAAAUGGUCAAGAAAAAUAAAUAAAUGAAGAAUAAUAUCUCAUGACAGGUGAAAAUGUGUUGUGAAAUUUCAAUUCCCCCAUACAUCAGUGAAGUCCUGAAGUAACACAGCCUGCCUUUUCAUCUCUGAGUUGUCCUUGGCAGCUCUAAGGCUGCCAUGGCAGAGCUGAGUAGUUGUGGCGGGGACCUGAAGAUCUGCCAAGCCUACAAUAUUUACUGUUGGGCCCUGGACAGAAAAAAGUUUGCUGACCUCUGACUCCAACAGAUCAUUAAAUGAGAUUAUUAAGCAGAAUGGUUUCAUUCUGGUAUUGGAGUGUCUGUGUUUCCCCUUUCAUCCUGACUCUUUCUCAGCUUUCUUUGAACUUGUUUAUUUGGUUAUUUUUCUGUUUCUGUUAGUCUGUCUGCUUCUGUCUUUAUGGCUGUUGUGGAUCUCACUAUUGGUGUUUUUUUUUUUUUUUUUUUUUUUGGGGGGGGGGUGGGUAGGAAUUGAACCCAGCAGCACUUAACCACAGAGCCAGAUCCCCAGCCCAUUUUUGAUGCUGUUGUUUCUGAGACAGGGUUUUGCUAAGUUGCUUAGAGCCUCAGUAGAUUGAUGAAGAUACCUUUGAAUUUGCGAUCCUCCUGCCUCAGCCUCCCAAGCCACUGGGAUUUUAUGUGUGCACCAUCACACCUGGUUCAUUCAUGAUUCUAAAAAACAAAAAUUAUAUAUUUUUAUUAGACAAGAAAUAUCUAGUCCUUGGGGGAAAGAAAGUCAAAUAUUAAGGCAAUAUAUCCCAUGUCAGCCUCUGCUACUUGAUUGGAAACUUGCUGAGAGCAAGGGACCAUAUUCUUGUUUUAUCCCCUGCACUUAGCAUAGGACCUGGUGCAGAGUAAACCCUUGGUAACACUUCUUUUUUUGGGGAGAUAGGUACCAGGGAUUGAACUCAGGGGCACUUGACCACUUAGCCACAUCCCCAGCCCCAUUUUGUAUUUUAUUUAGAGACAGGGUCUCACUGAGUUGCUUAGCACCUGUGUUUUGCUGAGGCUGCCUUUGAACAUGAAAUCCUCCUGCCUCAGCCUCCCAAGCCACUGGGAUUACAGGUGUGUGCCACCAUGCCUGUCUCCUCAAUAAUACUUCUUAAUGAACUAUUGCAUGCUGUAUCUGUGUCUACGGUGUCUUUUGCAACCUAUUAUUCUGCAGUGUGCUUUUUCUUUUCUUUCUUUUUUUUGUUUUUUGUUUUUUUUGGUAUUGGGUAUUAAACCCUGGGGUGCUCUACCACAAAGUCACAAUCCCAGCCCUUUUUAUAUUUUAUUUUAAGACAGGAUCUUGCUAAGUUGCUAAGGCUAGACUCAAACUUCCAAUCCUCCUACCUCUGUCUGCCCCACAGUGUGCUUUCUUGUAUGUGCUAAUAGACAUAAACUAUAGGAAGUGUAUGAGGAGAGAAAGCAUUUUCCAUUCUGACCACAGAAAACACACCCUUCUGUGUAGUAGCCAAGGCCCUCUUAGUAACUGGCCUUCUGUACAGCUCAGAUGUCACCUCGGGCAAGUGCAGUGGAUCACAGUCAGGAAGCAUUUUGUUAAUUUGUUUUGUGGGUGACACACCAGCAGGGACACAGGAAACCUGGCAUGGAUCAUUUACUGGGCCUUCUUACUUAGGAUGGUAAUUGUAUUUCUGUGCCAUGAGCCCAAAUCUCGUUGCUCUCGCGCCUAACCAUCUUCCUUCCUUGUUUCUAUUUUUAAAUUUUAUUUUUAAUGGAUACAUAAUAAUUGAACAUAUUUAUUGUGUAUAUUGUUAAUUUUUUUUUUUUUUGGAGUGCUAGGGAUUGAACCCCGGGCCUCAUGCAUGGUAGGCAAGUGCUCUACUACUGAGCUACAUCCCCAACCCCCAUCUUGAUGUUUUGAUGCACAUACACAUUGUGUACUAAUCAAAUCAGGGUAUUUGGCCCAUCCAUCACCUCAUACAUUUAUCAUUUAUUUGUGGUGAGAACAUUCAGACUCCUCAUUAUUUAAAAAUAUUUGAUAUGAUAUCAUUAACCAUAGUCACCCUGCUGUGCAAUAGAACUCAAAGACUUAUUCUUGCUGUCUAACCAUAGCUCUGUCUCGAUCAUUCAGUCACUUCCUAUCCCUCCCUGCCCUCUUUCUACUCUUCCCUUCUAUGAGAUGAGCUUGGGCAGAUUCCCUGACUCAUCUCGACUCUUUGAUCUGCUACUCUGACCUCCUUUUCCUGCUUUUCUAAGACUUCAUGCAAAAGCAGGAGUUAAGAACAUUAUGUUCCAAGCGAAUGGCUCUGUGCAUGGCACCUUUGGAACCUCAGAUUUAUGGAUCAAGUUGGGCAAGUUUCAUGCCACCUAUUUUUACAGAUAAGGAAACUGGGGCACAGAGAAGUGAAACAUUUUGCCAAGGUCAAGGCCUGUUCCAGAAGCAGUGCUCCAAAGUGCUUUGCCAUGCUGUGUCUCUACUGCACACGGUUGGGGUGCCUUACUGGCCUUUGUAUUCUCAGUACCUGGCAGAAAUCCCAGGGCCAGGAGCAGAUACUGUCUGCCUGUUGAAAAGGUGGAUUAGAAGCACACUUUAUGAGACUUCCCCAGGCUUCCUCAUGCAAAUGCUGUUGGACAAGUUCCCUCCUAACCUGGCUGAGGGUGGGAUGGGGUACACUUGGUUAGAACUUUCCUGGAAAGCAAUUAGGCAAUGUUGCCCUCCAGCAAAAUGUGCUAACCAUUGGGCCAGAACAUUUUUAUUUAUAGGAAUUUGUCUUCAGGAUAAAAAAAAAGAUCACAGAUGUGUGUGCAACAACAUAUAUACAAUGAUGUUUAUUGCAGUGUUGGCUAUCAAAAUGGACAACUCGAAACCAUCCUAAUGCCUGACUAUAAAGAAUUGGUUAAAUAGCUUAUGGUACAUUUCUCUGAUGGAACAUUUUGCAACCAGAACAAUAUCACUCUUAAUGCAUAAAGUGGUUACCCCUGGAGAAGAAGAGAAUGUAUCCCGAGGAACACAUGGAAAGCUCCAGCUGUGUUUGUAAUGAUUUCUUUCUUGAGCUGGAUGCUUAUUAUCUCAUGCUUUCCCCCCUCCUCCCCUGGGGGCCUCAUGCACACUAGACAAGCACACUACCACUGAGCUGCAUCCCCAGUCCUAUUAUCUCAUUCUUUACACCUCUUGAUAUGUCUAAAUUAUUAGGUAAUUAGGUGAAAAAUGAAAUUUUAAAAUAUCGUGUUUAGAAUACUUAGUGAUGUGUCAAAAUAAUCAUAAAAUAUUAUGCCUAAGCAAACAGGUUGUAAUAAAUAGUACAAACAAUAUCAUGACGAUUUUCUAAAUCAGAGCAUGCAUUUAGGUAUGAAAGAAACCCAUUAAACUUUAAAUUGUGUUUAUACUUGGACAGUGUGGUUUCAGGUGAUUUCCAUUUCUACAAUUCAACAGUAUUAUUUUGUACAAAAGAAGUAAUACUUUUUCACUUGCAGACUUUCAUCUCUUACUACUUUCUGCUUUCCUCAGUAAGAAACUCCAGAAUUAUUUUCCACUUGUCUCUUCCUUUGAAUCUACCCAUCCAGGGUUUUGAUUUGAUUUUUGUUAUUCACAUUUUCUUAAUCUUCUCCUUUGUUGCUGGCUGGUCUCCACAAGAUUUUAGACCUUAUUUUUUGUCAUGUAGUGAAAUCACUUGAUCAUGGAGUUAUCCACACCCUGACCUGGUGAUGUUGAAAACCCUGAGUUUUCUUUUAGCCAAUCUGUGUUUCAUUUUUAAGCUUCUUAUGGAUAAAAGUCACAGGGUUUGGCAAUAAAUUGCUUGUGAUGAGUCAAGGAUGGUAAUAAGCUGCAAAUUGACUUUAUAACUUCAUGCUAGUGAGGUGUGUUGGGAUACUCAAUAGUUCUGUCCCAUCACUUCCAAAAGGUGAUUAAAUAUUAAUGGACUAGAGUCCCUACCUGGAUGUGAAUUCAUGAAGGGGAAGACUGUGUGCACAGGGUCAAGCAGGCGAGGUUGACCGGUCUUUUUUUGAAUUCAUUCUGAUGGAGAACCGGCUCAGGAUAUUGAGUGGCAGUGUGAGAGCUCAUGACCUUGAUCUCGGAGGGUUUGUUUAAGAAAUCACAACUGGAAGAAAGACAUUGAGGUGACAGAAGAGGCCCUGCAACUCCAUUGGAAAUUGAAAUGGUUUCCUGAAUAAAGAGAAACAGCAGAAGUCAAGUUCAUUUGGAGUGUUUCAGCAUAUGUUCUGAAUUUGGAAACAUUGUAUAGAAGCAAGGCAGGGAAACAAGAUUUUUGCUGCAUUGCUUAGGAAAUGUGUGGGAAAGUGUUUAAAACAGGAGGAUUCAAUUAUAAGAGUUUUGUAUUCAAUUAUAAGAGCUUUGUAUUCUUAUGACUAUAUCACUUUCCCUCCUAGGCCAGAAAGAGUAGAUCAGAAAGUUCUGGAUGAAUGGAUUAACGAACUGAUCAAAUCCAUGAUUAAUCAUGGAGGUUAAUCUCCUGCCUCCUGUGUGGAUUCAUCAAGAUGUUGGUGGUUGGAGGUGACAUAAUCUCAAUUCAGAAACAACUUUGGUAAAAUCAGAAGGGACUUUAUUGGCUGCUCUGAUUGAAAAGGCCAGUGGGUAGUGCUAUGUCCAUCAUGGCCGGAUUCAAGGUACUCUUCCAAAUCAAUUUUUGCCAUUUUAUCUCAUGGCUCAUUUGCUUCAAAAGUAAGGUGAUUUUAGUUAACAUAGGGAAAAUUCCAGGAAAAUAAUAUGCCACGUUUUCCAAUCCAUAGUACAUUUGAUUGAGUAAAGUGAAUUUAAAGGGGUUUGAUCCUCAAGCAAGGUGACCUCUCUCAGGUGAAUUAAAUCAUGUCUCAUGUUGCUUAAAAGAUGUUGUGACUGUAGAGAAAUGUUGAAAGGGACAGAAAUCAUUAUGGAGUUUCCCAUUUCCUAUUCCUAUUCAUUUUUCAAAAUAAUACAGAAGAAUCCUUUACCAUCUAGGUUUUACAAAUAAAAUUAUUGGAAGAUUUCUUUGAAGUUGGCUGAUUUUAUUUUUUGUACUGUAAACUAUUUGGUAAAUCUAAUUUAAAUGCAAUUUUUUAAUGACUAGUGUUGAUAUUAUGAUUCAUCACUCAUUUACUUAAUUAGCAACACUUGACUUUAUAUACCCAAAAUGUCCAAUUUGCACCCUGGCA